UUGGUCUCCUUAAUAUUUUCAGUCCAGAUUUGAUGUAUCAAAUGUCAAUAAAAAUGUCCAUUGACAGUAAGUUGAUAAGCUUGAAUGUUUAUUUACGAGAUCAUUUCAUUGUUUUAAAUAUUAUUCUCUUUUAAUAUUAAAAAAAAUAUUCUUAAACUUUUGUGUUAGUAUAUUUGUGUAUCCAUAAAAAUAGCUAUUAAGGCGACCAGGGAAAAAAUCAUAAUUUUGGUCAAAAAUAGCUAUAUACUAAGCAUUUUUUAUUUGUUUUACUUUAUUUAAAGCUUAUUGUAUAUUAUCCCGAAGUUUCAUUCCAUAAAAAACAGAAAUGAGGAAAUUCGAUAUUUCGUGUACCAUCAGCAUCCAAAUUUUCAAGUAUACAGAAAUUUAACUUUCCGGAAUAUAACGGAAAUUUUCGGGUAUCUCCGUGGUACCAUCUCCGUGCAAUUAUGCAGUAUGGCGUUCAUCUCUUACAGAAAGAGAAUGGUAACUUGGUAAGUGUUUAAAAUACAUAUUCAACGUUUUUUCGUUUAUUUUUAUGACUUUUGUACAGUUGUAUAAAUCGUCCACCCUUUGGAUGAAAAGCAAAUGAUUUAUCCGGAUUUUGUUCAUCCGAAACUAAAUCACUAGUAUCAACAUCCGGUGUAAUUUUUGCUUGUAUUUUGGAGAAACUCGAUUGAUUUCUAGCAAACUUGGUUUACCACUACUGUACAUCGUCGCUUAUUAUUAUUUGUGUCAUGGAAAGCUGGAACUUUUCAGUACACAACAUGCAAACUGAGAAUGAACUGUGUGUGCCGGCUUUGUGAACAAAAACGCAAGGCGGCUAUGAUACACUGUGUUGUGUGUGGAUAAGAAAUGCAGAGUGGUACCACCAAUUACCUAAGCCACCAUUCCCCUAACAGACAAAAGGCUCAUGGGGACAGUUCCUGCAGUUUACAGCAAAUUGUAGCCCUACAAACUUCAG
This is a long non-coding RNA of Mya arenaria, 961 nucleotides long. RefSeq lists it as uncharacterized. NCBI's taxonomy places the organism in Eukaryota, Metazoa, Mollusca, Bivalvia, Myida, Myidae. The record is from RefSeq and is a predicted model, not a curated record. The transcript is spliced from 3 exons.